This 397-nucleotide ribosomal RNA is filed under the name uncultured bacterium. Its description in RNAcentral is "partial 16S ribosomal RNA". It matches the Rfam family "Bacterial small subunit ribosomal RNA", at positions 360 to 774 of the family's 1533-position model. The record is from RNAcentral.
AAUAUUGCACAAUGGAGGAAACUCUGAUGCAGCGACGUCGCGUGAGUGAUGAAGGCCCUAGGGUUGUAAAGCUCUUUCACCGGUGUAGAUAAUGACGGUAACCGGAGAAGAAGCCCCGGCUAACUUCGUGCCAGCAGCCGCGGUAAUACGAAGGGGGCUAGCGUUGUUCGGAUUUACUGGUCGUAAAGCGCACGUAGGCGGAUUGGUCAGUUAGGGGUGAAAUCCCAGGGCUUAACCCUGGAACUGCCUUUAAUACUGCCAGGCUUGAGUAUGGAAGAGGUGAGUGGAAUUGCGAGUGUAGAGGUGAAAUUCGUAGAUAUUCGCAGGAACACCAGUGGCGAAGGCGGCUCACUGGUCCAUUACUGACGCUGAGGUGCGAAAGCGUGGGGAGCAAACA